Impatiens glandulifera is the source of this 1098-nucleotide RNA transcript. It is a transcript of the gene named AP-1 complex subunit mu-2-like, with no coding region annotated. The record is from RefSeq and is a predicted model, not a curated record. NCBI's taxonomy places the organism in Eukaryota, Viridiplantae, Streptophyta, Magnoliopsida, Ericales, Balsaminaceae. The transcript is spliced from 4 exons.
GUCAGCAGAGUCUAGACGAAUUCUUUCUAACCUAGAAAAUCAUUUGCCUCAUCCUUGGAAGAUCCAAAAUCUCUCCAUUAUAAUCCAGACCUCAAGUUUCGUUAUUCUCACCGGAUCUCCUGCUAACCAAAGAUCUGAUUUCUGAUUUCUGAUCUCCGAUCUGACGGAGAAACCUUGACACUCCGAUGGCGGGAGCCGCCUCAACCCUCUUCCUUCUCGAUAUCAAAGGUAGAGUUCUCGUUUGGCGCGACUACCGUGGAGACUUCUCUGUUGUUCAAGCCGAACGCUUCCUCACCAAGCUAAUCGAGAAAGAGGAUGUAAGUUGCUCAGAGGCCACCCAUGCCUGUAACAAAUGCUGUAUCUUGGCAUAGAGAGGGCAUACAAUAUAAGAAAAAUGAAGAAUCUCAGUUGACUCAAAGAGAAGGGACUGACUGGAUUGCUUCCAAGGAGAGUUAAAUGCUUCUCUAGGAAUCUACAUUGUAUUGUGCUCUCUUUGCUCUUGCUAUUCAGGUUUUCUCACUUCUCUUUUCUUUCCAUGGACGUGUCUUUUUUGUAUGAAUUUGUCGAUCUACAUGAAUCCAGAUUAAUUUACAUAAAACAAAUUCAGCCGUUUCGCCAUUGGCAACAUCCAAACUAGUGCAUCCUACUUGCGCCAUUACUUGGACAGAUGAAGGCCUCUCUUUAGGUCAUGGAAGAAUGAGCUAUGAUCCGAAUAAUCGAAAUUAGUGGGACUCCAAUUUAUUCAAUUGCUUAGGCCGCAACGAAGAAUUCUGCAACAGCGAUCUCGAAGUUUAUAAGUUUUCCAGUUUCAAUUAGGUCUUCUUGGAAAUGUGGCCCUGUGUGUACUCUAUGAAAGUAAUGUGGAAAGACUUGGUUCAUCUCCUACAUGUUUCGUAAGCCACUACUUGCCUUACUCAGGCCUAUAUUUUGUGACGGAUCAUGUUGGGGUGUAUGAACCAAUUUAAUGUUUGUCUACAAGAUAUUUUGCUUUAGUAACUAUAAUUUACAAGAAGUCUUAUUCGGGCAUAGUUUGAAUUCAACACUCCCCUUUAAGUACUUACAAUUUUUUGUGGAUUUUCUGCUAAAUGUCACUCACUU